GGUGGAUGUGUGCUGACCUAGACUCAAGGCCAAAGCUGAGAGUCCAAGCCCCAGGGGCCAGGCUGGGGAUGGAGACUUGAGGGGACCUGGGGCCAGGUGGACUAGAGGGAAAACUAAAGACCAAAGAGAAGGAGUCUGAUGAGGAAGCAGUGAGAUGGAAGAGUCCAGGGGCAUUUCCCAUGAAGAGGGCACCGAAAAGCACAAGGGCUUCCUGUGUUGGAAACAAAAGGGAUGAUCCUUCAGGUUUCAGCAGAAAGUCCUGGGCGCUCUGCAGCAGGAGACAGGCAGAGCCUUCCUCGCAGGAGACCCAGGCCAGACAGGAACUGAAUCAAGGCGAGCAAUGCCCACUUUUCAUACCCAAGGAAAACGUAGUGGAUCUUUCAUGGUGGAAGCCACAUCAUCUGGAGCCCUUUUGUAAAUUUACAAUAGCUGUCACUCAAUAAAAAUGUACUAGACAUUCCAAGGCACAGAAACCGAUGAUUAAAAACAGUAGAGGACCUGUCAAAACAAACCCAUAUGCAUUCCCGAUGCUGGAGGAACUGUAGGUCCAUGAACAAGCCAAACAAACAAAAUAAGAUUUGAUCAAUUCACCCCACAUGUAAAAGCUAAAAAUAAACCAUGCCUCUAAAUGUAAACAUAAAUCCAUAAAAAUCAAUACAAGAGAAAAAAAUUUCUGCUCUUGAGUUAAACAAAGUUUUC
Molecule: long non-coding RNA, 699 nt
Filed under: Marmota monax (woodchuck)
Lineage: Eukaryota; Metazoa; Chordata; Mammalia; Rodentia; Sciuridae
Source: RNAcentral